Long non-coding RNA from Daucus carota subsp. sativus, 337 nucleotides. RefSeq lists it as uncharacterized. The transcript is spliced from 3 exons. Lineage: Eukaryota; Viridiplantae; Streptophyta; Magnoliopsida; Apiales; Apiaceae. The record is from RefSeq and is a predicted model, not a curated record.
CACUGUUGCAUCUGCUAUCUUUGGUAGCAUUAUCGGAAAAGAGGUCAUUGUUCUGCUGCAGUUAACAGAUGCUAAUGUGGCCGGAGAUAGUAAUCUCUACAAUGUAGUAGAUUUGUGUGAUUCUGCAAUGUACGAAGGUGCAAUGGUUUGGCAUCACCAACUCAGGCUACCAGUUCAUUUUCUAUGGAGGGUGACUCUGUUGUUCCUGGCAUUGAGCUUUUUGAAACUCCAGGUUCAUCUCAUUCAGCCACAAAGAAAAUCAAAGUGGAGGAUACCCCAGCAUGAUGCUACAAGCGGCUUGAUUAUGCAACCCCUGUGCUGCGGCCUGUGCUCUUUU